Molecule: non-coding RNA, 18 nt
Filed under: Cervus elaphus (red deer)
Lineage: Eukaryota; Metazoa; Chordata; Mammalia; Artiodactyla; Cervidae
Also listed under: 1 other name
Source: RNAcentral
CGGGCGGGGCCGGGGGUG